Long non-coding RNA from Lagopus muta (rock ptarmigan), 2557 nucleotides. RefSeq lists it as uncharacterized. The transcript has 2 exons. The record is from RefSeq and is a predicted model, not a curated record. Lineage: Eukaryota; Metazoa; Chordata; Aves; Galliformes; Phasianidae.
UUCUAUUUCAAGGAAUCACUUUUAUUGUGACUUUGGGACCCCGUUUUGCCAGUUCCUGGUCCUCCUACACUUCUCUCAAACAACAUUCAGCCCCCCUUUAGAUACUGAAAGGCUGCUACCAGGUCACCUCAGAACCUUCUCAUCUCCAGGCUCAACAGCCCCAGCUCUCUUAGCCUGUCCUCAUAGUGAAUAUGUUCCAACCCUUGGAUCAUUUCUGUGGCCCUCCUCUGGAUACUCUUCAACAGAUUCAUGUCUCUCCUGAACUGAGGACUCCACAUCUGGGCCCUGUUCUCCAGAAUAAAUCCAGGAAGCAGAGUUCUAACAAAGAGGGAGAGCCUUGCAGAAAUGCAUGACUGGAAGGGAUGAUGAGGAAAUACUGGUUUGCAAAAAACAGAAAAGUGGGACUUAUAGUGUAAUGAAUGCUUGAGGUACAGAAAGGUUCUAAUAUGGAUCUUAGCACUGCAUUGAGAUCAACGAGAUGAACGUCACGAUUCUGAGUGCUCCUAUAGUAAAAGACAGUCAAAAGGAAGAUAAUUAAAGUGCAAUAGAAAUACUUGUGGAAUAAAAAGGUUUAAAGAAUAUACUACGUUUCCGGAGAAGGCAGGCAUCAGAUGAUCAGAUCUACUUAUGAAACAGAGAUAGCUUUUCCCACUGAGAGCUUUGAGCUUUUGUCAGAAAAUCAAAUAACAUGGAUAAAAAAGCUCACAGCUGAAUGGUAGUGCUUUUCCAACCAAAAUAAUGAUAUAUAUGUUUUUAUUAAUUUAUUUUUAAGAAAUAAAAUCAAUCCCCAAACACUUUAACUUAGGUUGAAACAUGACUUUCAUGUAGGAAGAAUGUUUAAUUCGUUGUAUGCUGAAAUCCAAAGGAAUGCAGAUGACAACUAUGCCAGAAAAAUCACAUCCUGAAUGGCUAUGACAAGCUACCUGGUUCUCAGAAACUUUUAUUUGCAAAAGAGGAACACAGAGCUGGUCAUGACGACAAUGAAGUUUCUGUUCCCAGCUGGCUUCCCACUACAAUCUCAGGGAGGGCUGAAUUCCUGGUGUCUGGCUAAUGAGAAUAACCUCCCAAGUAAUGACACCUGCAGCGCACAAAAAUCCCUCAGGUGGCAAAUGAUGACUUUUUCUAGUAUUCCUUCCCACUCAAUGAGUGAUAUGCCAAUUAUGAAGGUCUGGUUUAGAGAAUUCCCCCUGCAACUAGAGUGGCUUACCUGGGGGCAGCCCUGGUGAUGCUGUCUCUAGCAACCUGUCCCCCCUCACUGCCUGCAUGAAUCUCCAGCUCACCUAGAAGUUACUGGACUGCUGCCAGCAUUACCCUGACAUAUUAAAUAAAAUCAAAUUUGAAUACUGAUUUACAUUAGCAUGUUACAGUGUAACAACAGGAGUUCCUCUGUUGCUUCACCAAGAACUGACAUUUUGCUGAGCGUCCCUAAGAGAUGGAUGAGUAGGAGGGCUCAUAGCUGAACUCCCACAGCAUCUCAAAGCAAACUGUUCCAGAAUCUGAACUCGAUUCUCAUGGAGGAUGGCUUCCUGCUUUUGAGUGAAUCUUGCAAAGCCUCUUCCAUACUUCUUUUUCACAGGUGCUUUUUUCACAGGUACUGUAAGAAUUAGUUAUUUAAUAGAAAUGCAACGUUCAGAAUGUGCUGUUCUUUCAGUCUUUGCGGUAAUUCAAAGGUUGUCCAUGCUGAGAUUUUUCAGUGGAUUUUUAUUUAUGGGGUUGGUUUUGUGGCACUAAAACCUUACUGCUGCAUCUUGUAUUGGGACCAACAAAAUGGUGAAUAUUUGAGAAAAGCAGCUGGAGAAACUCUCUCACUCUUUGAACCAAACCAUUAGAAUAAUAGCCAUUUUUUCUUUUUGGUUGUCGUUUAUAUCCAUUUAUGGUCGAGGCUCUCUAGAACAGUUCAAUACUUGCCUGUUCACUGUCUGUUAGAAGUCCAUCUCCCCAUACCACCCUUAGCCAUGCUUGCAGUCGUAAGGAUCAGCUGAAGUCCUUCUGUGAGGUUCAUAAAGCUAGGUUGUCCUCUCCUUUUGCUACCAUCUCUGGAGAGAGCUCUGACACACAGCCUAACACAGGACUGUGAUAAAGAGACCUUCCAGACCUCAGGCUGUGUGAUGCUGGCUUGUGGACUGCAUUCCUAGGAUGUGGGUAGAGGGCUCCAUGGAUCUGCACCUUAAAGUUUAACCUUAUCUGUAUAAAGAGAGCUUUCACAAAAAUUUACAUUGUCUAAUUGUCACAGUGAAGACUUUUAAUGUUCAGGUCUUUGCAUAAUAGAUAACUACUGAAUGUAAGUGAAGCAAAUUUACUCUAUAACUACAAUGCAGGGGACUUUCCAGUGUUGACUCAAGUUAUGUCAGUGGUGGUAUGAAUAUUUUCUCAUAGAUCUAUGAACUACUUGAUAGAAAACAACUGACUUGUAAUAUUUUCUAAAUGUUCAGAUUCCUCCUAAAUGAGCUACAUUAACACUGAGACACUGAGAUUAGUUGUCAUUGUUGAGAUGUUGCAAAUGAUCCUUCCUAUGGCUGGUUUAAUUAAAACACCUGUUUUCUAGUUUGUCAUGUCA